RNAcentral lists this ribosomal RNA (406 nucleotides) under uncultured bacterium. RNAcentral describes it as "partial 16S ribosomal RNA". It matches the Rfam family "Bacterial small subunit ribosomal RNA", at positions 30 to 526 of the family's 1533-position model. The record is from RNAcentral.
AUUGAACGCUGGCGGCAGGCCUAACACAUGCAAGUCGAGCGAGCGGCGGACGGGUGAGUAAUGUCUGGGAAACUGCCUGAUGGAGGGGGAUAACUACUGGAAACGGUAGCUAAUACCGCAUACCAUCAUAUUUGCCCAGAUGGGAUUAGCUUGUAGGUGGGGUAAUGGCUCACCUAGGCGACGAGCCCUAGCUGGUCUGAGAGGAUGAAAGGCCACACUGGGACUGAGACACGGUCCAGACUCCUACGGGAGGCAGCAGUGGGGAAUAUUGCACAAUGGGCGCAAGCCUGAUGCAGCCAUGCCGCGUGUGUGAAGAAGGCCUUCGGGUUGUAAAGCACUUUCAGCGGGGAGGCGUUACCCACAGAAGAAGCACCGGCUAACUCCGUGCCAGCAGCCGCGGUAAUUC